GAAUGCAGACUGGAUUUUUGCCUGACUACGGUGCUCAGCCUUCUAGACAAUAGUUAUGCUAAGGGAUUAUCUUUUAACAUUGUGCAGUUAUCUCCUUUGUUUGUUUUCUUUUUUCAUUAUUCACAUAAGCCAAGGGAAAUGAAAAGCAUCUUAUUUCAGGCAAAAAGGCCUGUGAAUGAUUAACUCUGGUUCCAUGCGUUGGGACUUUGCAUAGCAACCCCGUGGCUUGCAACGACAAAAAAGCUCAAGGCAGGAACAGCAGCCCAGGGACCUGAGACCAGCGUUCUCAAAUGAAGCCAGAUCUGCUGUUAGAGGAGAAUUCUUCUGUCCUAGCUGUGUCUCUGUGAUCUGUGGAUGAGGGUGGGAAAGCACCACUCAGUCAAUUGGGGUGUACAAAAUGGAGUUUGAGAAGGUCUCACAUCCAGGUUGUUUUGAAGCAAAGUCCAAGCAUUGUAUCACUUCAUCUGCAAAUAUUUCAAUAAGUACCCAAAAGGUCCAGAUUGACUGCAAGAACAAAUCAGCAAUCCUGAGAGGACCCACAGGCCCUCUGAAGGAAGCAGACUACUCCUGCAGGACCUGGGAGAUACCCUGAAUACUUGGUUGGACUGAGUCCCAUGAAGCCAGAUCACUUCUGACUGCAAGGAGCUUGGAAAAGCAAGUAUCUGGAUCUUUUACCAGCUAAAUUUGGAGCGAUGAGGCUUCCUCUUUGAAGAUCACAGGUGAGAAGAUUAGGUGCUUUCUCAGAAGCCCAGCAACCUGAUGGGAGUGUGGAGUGAGCAAGACCCAAAUCGGAGCUUCAUCCCUGCAUGGUUCAUUUUGCUUAUUUGGCAAACUUGCCCUGCAGAAUCUACUCAAGCUUCCUCAGUUUCUCAAAUCAUUCUUGGGCAACAAAUGAACAAGAAAGAGGACGUCUUAUUAUCUGGUGUCUGGCUUGCUGAUUUAAUAACCUAGGAGACAGUGUUUGAAGAACACAAACUCUAAAGUCCUUCACUUAAAAAAAAAAAAAAACUUUCCCAAAUUGCUUACCAUUUGGAAAAAUUGCCUUACCUUCUUCAGUCAUCUCUGAUGUUGUCAUCCUCAGAGUAAGAAGUACGCAUUCAUAAGGAACCAUAACGUCCUUCAGGAAAUCCAGUACACCCUACAAUUUUACCUAAAACUUUGAUGUUGUUUUUUCUGAGCAUUUUACCUUCUAGGGAAAUGGAUCUCAUGCUGUUUAUCAGUUUCUGAAAGUUGUUAUUAAUCUCCCCUCAUCCCAAAAUUGAAGAACUUUGCUUAAAUCUUAGAAUCAGAACUUUGGCUCCAGUAAUAAAGACUUUUCAAUAUCUUUAUCUGCCAUUGAGUCUUACCUAACGAAAUAAAGCCUCCAAAGUGGGAAUUUGA
RNAcentral lists this long non-coding RNA (1380 nucleotides) under Homo sapiens (human). RNAcentral's name for it is "long intergenic non-protein coding RNA 1091". Lineage: Eukaryota; Metazoa; Chordata; Mammalia; Primates; Hominidae. The record is from RNAcentral.